Non-coding RNA from Bos taurus (domestic cattle), 73 nucleotides. Lineage: Eukaryota; Metazoa; Chordata; Mammalia; Artiodactyla; Bovidae. The record is from Rfam.
UCCCUGAUGGUCCAGUGGAUAAGACUCUGUGCUCCCAAUGUAGGAGACCUGGGUUCAAUCCCUGGCCAGGGAA